Molecule: ribosomal RNA, 499 nt
Filed under: uncultured bacterium
Lineage: Bacteria
Description: partial 16S ribosomal RNA
Rfam family: Bacterial small subunit ribosomal RNA
Source: RNAcentral
GAUGAACGCUGGCCGCGUGCCUAAUACAUGCAAGUCGAGCGAACAGACGAGAGUGCUUGCACUCUCUGACGUUAGCGGCGGACGGGUGAGUAACACGUGGGUAACCUACCUAUAAGACUGGGAUAACUUCGGGAAACCGGAGCUAAUACCGGAUAAUAUUUAGCUUCGCAUGAAGCAAUAGUGAAAGACGGUUCUGCUGUCACUUAUAGAUGGACCCGCGGUGUAUUAGCUAGUUGGUGAGGUAACGGCUCACCAAGGCAACGAUACAUAGCCGACCUGAGAGGGUGAUCGGCCACACUGGGACUGAGACACGGCCCAGACUCCUACGGGAGGCAGCAGUAGGGAAUCUUCCGCAAUGGACGAAAGUCUGACGGAGCAAUGCCGCGUGAGUGAAGAAGGUUUUCGGAUCGUAAAACUCUGUUGUAAGGGAAGAACAAGUACGUUAGUAACUGAACGUACCUUGACGGUACCUUACCAGAAAGCCACGGCUAACUACGUG